Clarias gariepinus (North African catfish) is the source of this 1402-nucleotide long non-coding RNA. RefSeq lists it as uncharacterized. NCBI's taxonomy places the organism in Eukaryota, Metazoa, Chordata, Actinopteri, Siluriformes, Clariidae. The transcript is spliced from 4 exons. The record is from RefSeq and is a predicted model, not a curated record.
AUGUGUCUGUCUGACUGUCUGUCUGUCUGUGUGUGUAUGUUAGUGUUUGUUUGUUCUCUCUGCACACUGACCCUGAUCAAGGCGAAGAGAAUUACAGAAAUCUUGUUUUUACCAGUGUCUCUGAGUGUCUGUACUGUCUCCUGGACUUACAGCUUCAAGCCCCUGGACUGGCAACUAUGUCGGUGGUUGUCCCUUCACUGGAAAACCCCAACUUUACCAUAAUUCAUUCUGUUCCUUGAUGCAGAGAGGGACGGUUAAUCUGUUCCAACAAACCAAAGACACAGUAAGCAGCUUCACCAGAUGUCCUUGCAGUGACUGAGAAACCAAAGGCACAGUGAGAAUCAACUCAUCAUUCUUGUCAAAAAAGAAGCGAAUCUGAAUUCAAGCCUGUUACACCUUCUCGUGAAAUUUUUGCACUUGUCCGUCAUCAGCCGCUACAGGAAAAUAUUUGGACAUUCCCAAAUUAGCUCAUAAAAGCUCUCACUUGCUGACAACAAACGCUUCCAGGAAGUGGCAUGUGUUCAUCCGAAAUGAUUUCUCAGAGGACAAGCACAAAGAAAAUUAAGAGGAGAAGGAAAACCGGAGGCGGAGGCGAAGCCGGACAAGAGCAGAAGAGGAGGUGUGUCGGGAGAAGUGGCUACUGUGAGUGUUUCUCUGGCAGUGUCUUAGCUGGUUGUUGUGAGGAGUGAGAACGAAGCAAUCAGCAAGUAUACUGCCGCAGAAACUCGUCACCAUGCAAAGCCCGUUCAGUCGCAUUUUCAACGCAUGAACCUAGAGAAAGACAGAAACCUUAUCUCAUCAGCCUGUUUCAAGACUGCACUGUAAUACAGUGAUUUCCUCAUAUUUGUACUUCGGUUUCUUGUUUCAUGUGUAUUUGUAGUUUUUUAUUCUUAUAUUAUUUUAUAUUUUAUUCUUAUAUUAUAUGAUAUAUUAUAAACUUAUAUUAUUUUAUAUAGUGUUCUCUCCUUUCUAGAAUAAAUUCAGCUAAAACAUGCUGCUUGAAUUUGCUUUUUGACUACUAAGGCCUGUUGCAAUAAACAGCAGCUGAUUUUAUUAUUAUUAUUAUUAUUGUUAUUAUUAUUAUUAUUAUUAUUAUUAUUAUUAUAGCACCUUUUCACAGUGCCAGCCUUGCCAGAAUGUGUGCUCAGGGUCAUCCUGGCAUGCUGAACAUCUGCAGUUGUUUCUCAGCAUGUCGACACUUAGGUCUUAAUAAAGUACUUGCUAUCUUGCACUUCUCUCCUUUUAAGCUGUGAUUGCAUUAAGUGCCCACUUUACUGAAACAUCACAGAGAAGCCAGACAUCCAUUUGGCUAUGCCUUUAUUCCAAUAUGUUAAGUCUGUUCCAAGUCAGUUUCAACCGAUUACAAUAAUGUGAUUCUUGAAGUAAAACACAGAAACACAAU